RNAcentral lists this unclassified non-coding RNA (362 nucleotides) under Hevea brasiliensis (rubber tree). Lineage: Eukaryota; Viridiplantae; Streptophyta; Magnoliopsida; Malpighiales; Euphorbiaceae. The record is from RNAcentral.
GACAUCUACUUCCCAUAUAUUCAGGUGGGCAACCUCAAUUUACAAGCUUAUUGUUAAUUUUAAAAUGUCAAAAUAAGACUAACAUGUGAUCGCUCACUGUAGGGCUCAAACCUACGACCACAAGUUUAAGAGCCUUGUGCUCUACCGAAUGAGCUAGAUGUGCAUUUGUUAAGCUUAAUAAUUACUUUUACUUUGUUGAAGUUGCCUGAAGGAGGCUUGGUUAUUUUUAUUGGUAUUCCAUGUCUGCUGUAGACUUGCUUUUAGUAGGUUGUUAGGAGAAAAAAUGUUGCAAAUGGAAAAGGAAUAUUUUAUGUUUUAUUUUGCUUUGAUUAUAAUUGGAUAUACACACACACACACACACA